CAGCUUGCUGGGGUACACGAGUGGCGAACGGGUGAGUAACACGUGGGUGACCUGCCCUGCACUUCGGGAUAAGCCUGGGAAACUGGGUCUAAUACCGGAUAGGACCGCACCGUGAGGGUGUGGUGGAAAGUUUUUUCGGUGUGGGAUGGGCCCGCGGCCUAUCAGCUUGUUGGUGGGGUAACUGGCCUACCAAGGCGGCGACGGGUACCGGCCUGAGAGGGUGGACGGCCCACAUUGGGACUGAGACACGGCCCAGACUCCUACGGGAGGCAGCAAUGGGGAAUAUUGCACAAUUGGGCGGAAGCCUGAUGCAGCGACGCCGCUGGGGGAUGACGGCCUUCGGGUUGUAAACUCCUUUCACCAUCGACGAAGGGUUUCUGACGGUAGAUGGAGAAGAAGCACCGGCUAACUACGUGCCAGCAGCCGCGGUAAUACGUAGGGUGCGAGCGUUGUCCGGAAUUACUGGGCGUAAAGAGCUCGUAGGUGGUUUGUCGCGUCGUCUGUGAAAUUCCGGGGCUUAACUCCGGGCGUGCAGGCGAUACGGGCAUAGCUUGAGUACUGUAGGGGAGACUGGAAUUCCUGGUGUAGCCGGUGAAAUGCGCAGAUAUCAGGAGGAACACCGGUGGCGAAGGCGGGUCUCUGGGCAGUAACUGACGCUGAGGAGCGAAAGCAUGGGGAGCGAACAGGAUUAGAUACCCUGGUAGUCCAUGCCGUAAACGGUGGGCGCUAGGUGUGGGUUUCCUUCCACGGGAUCCGUGCCGUAGCUAACGCAUUAAGCGCCCCGCCUGGGAGUACGCCGCAAGGC
Molecule: ribosomal RNA, 805 nt
Filed under: uncultured Actinomycetes bacterium
Lineage: Bacteria; Bacillati; Actinomycetota; Actinomycetes
Description: bacterial SSU rRNA
Rfam family: Bacterial small subunit ribosomal RNA
Source: RNAcentral